This 497-nucleotide ribosomal RNA is filed under the name uncultured bacterium. Its description in RNAcentral is "partial 16S ribosomal RNA". It matches the Rfam family "Bacterial small subunit ribosomal RNA", at positions 28 to 507 of the family's 1533-position model. The record is from RNAcentral.
GAUGAACGCUGGCGGCGUGCCUAAUACAUGCAAGUCGAGCGAACAGACGAGGAGCUUGCUCCUCUGACGUUAGCGGCGGACGGGUGAGUAACACGUGGAUAACCUACCUAUAAGACUGGGAUAACUUCGGGAAACCGGAGCUAAUACCGGAUAAUAUAUUGAACCGCAUGGUUCAAUAGUGAAAGACGGUUUUGCUGUCACUUAUAGAUGGAUCCGCGCCGCAUUAGCUAGUUAGUAAGGUAACGGCUUACCAAGGCAACGAUGCGUAGCUGACCUGAGAGGGUGAUCGGCCACACUGGAACUGAGACACGGUCCAGACUCCUACGGGAGGCAGCAGUAGGGAAUCUUCCGCAAUGGGCGAAAGCCUGACGGAGCAACGCCGCGUGAGUGAUGAAGGUCUUCGGAUCGUAAAACUCUGUUAUUAGGGAAGAACAAAUGUGUAAGUAACUAUGCACGUCUUGACGGUACCUAAUCAGAAAGCCACGGCUAACUACGUG